CCUACGGGUGGCAGCAGUGGGGGAUAUUGCACAAUGGGGGAAACCCUGAUGCAGCGACGCCGCGUGUGGGAAGACGGUCCUCUGGAUUGUAAACCACUGUCCCCAGGGACGAAGAUGACGGUACCUGGGGAGGAAGCUCCGGCAAACUACGUGCCAGCAGCCGCGGUAAUACGUAGGGAGCGAGCGUUGUCCGGAAUUACUGGGUGAAAAGGGAGCGUAGGCGGGACGGCAAGUUGGGUGUCAAAUCUACCGGCUCAACCGGUAGCCGCACUCAAAACUGCAGUUCUUGAGUGAAGGAGAGGCAGGCGGAAUUCCUAGUGUAGCGGUGAAAUGCAUAGAUAUCGCGCAGAACUCCGAUUGCGAAGGCAGCAUGCCGGCUCCACACUGACGCUGAGGCACGAAAGCGUGGGUAUCGAACAGGAUUAGAUACCCUUGUAGUC
This 440-nucleotide ribosomal RNA is filed under the name uncultured bacterium. RNAcentral's name for it is "partial 16S ribosomal RNA". It matches the Rfam family "Bacterial small subunit ribosomal RNA", at positions 338 to 795 of the family's 1533-position model. The record is from RNAcentral.